RNAcentral lists this ribosomal RNA (171 nucleotides) under Triportheus sp. CBM:ZF:13070. RNAcentral describes it as "partial 12S rRNA". The record is from RNAcentral. Lineage: Eukaryota; Metazoa; Chordata; Actinopteri; Characiformes; Triportheidae.
CACCGCGGUUAUACGAGAGACCCAAGUUGAUAAAUACGGCGUAAAGAGUGGUUAAGGAUAAUAAAGAAAUAAAGCCAAAGGCCUUCCAAGCUGUCACACGCACCUCGAAGGUACGAAGCCCAAACACGAAAGUAGCUUUACCACCUGCCUGACCCCACGAAAGCUAAGAAA